Molecule: ribosomal RNA, 460 nt
Filed under: uncultured bacterium
Lineage: Bacteria
Description: partial 16S ribosomal RNA
Rfam family: Bacterial small subunit ribosomal RNA
Source: RNAcentral
CCUACGGGAUGCAGCAGUGAGGAAUAUUGGUCAAUGGACGAGAGUCUGAACCAGCCAAGUAGCGUGAAGGAUGACUGCCCUAUGGGUUGUAAACUUCUUUUAUAUGGGAAUAAAAUGUUCCACGUGUGGGAUUUUGUAUGUACCAUAUGAAUAAGGAUCGGCUAACUCCGUGCCAGCAGCCGCGGUAAUACGGAGGAUCCGAGCGUUAUCCGGAUUUAUUGGGGUUAAAGGGAGCGUAGGUGGAUUGUUAAGUCAGUUGUGAAAGUUUGCGGCUCAACCGUAAAAUUGCAGUUGAAACUGGCAGUCUUGAGUACAGUAGAGGUGGGCGGAAUUCGUGGUGUAGCGGUGAAAUGCUUAGAUAGCACGAAGAACUCCGAUUGCGAAGGCAGUUCACUGGACUGCAACUGACACUGAGGCUCGAAAGUGUGGGUAUCAAACAGGAUUAGAUACCCGUGUAGUC